This 31-nucleotide non-coding RNA is filed under the name Mus musculus (house mouse). The record is from RNAcentral. Lineage: Eukaryota; Metazoa; Chordata; Mammalia; Rodentia; Muridae.
UGCUCACAAGGGCUCUUCUUGUAUGCCCGUC